CUGCCACAAACUUGCUCUGCACCUUAUUAACUUCCCAUAACAAUAAAUUACUAUUCAAGCUACAUAAGCAAGUCCCAUUUCCAUGAACCAUGUACACAUGAUUAACAUGAAAUUAUGACUCAACAUUAUAACACUUGGUUUGGCAGACUAACUUUAAGCUUCCUGAUCACACAUUUAAUAAGAAAUAGUAAAAGACUAAUUACAGGCACAAGUUAAAACCAAUCUUCCAUCACAACAACACAUAUCCAAUAGAAUGUUAAGAGUUCCUGAACAAAAAUUCUUCCAUUAAU
This 290-nucleotide long non-coding RNA is filed under the name Panax ginseng (ginseng). Its description in RNAcentral is "long non-coding RNA (PGIN_LNC010622)". The record is from RNAcentral. Lineage: Eukaryota; Viridiplantae; Streptophyta; Magnoliopsida; Apiales; Araliaceae.